GAUGAACGCUGGCGGCGUGCCUAAUACAUGCAAGUCGAGCGAACAGAUGAGGAGCUUGCUCCUCUGACGUUAGCGGCGGACGGGUGAGUAACACGUGGAUAACCUACCUAUAAGACUGGGAUAACUUCGGGAAACCGGAGCUAAUACCGGAUAAUAUAUUGAACCGCAUGGUUCAAUAGUGAAAGACGGUUUUGCUGUCACUUAUAGAUGGAUCCGCGCCGCAUUAGCUAGUUGGUAAGGUAACGGCUUACCAAGGCAACGAUGCGUAGCCGACCUGAGAGGGUGAUCGGCCACACUGGAACUGAGACACGGUCCAGACUCCUACGGGAGGCAGCAGUAGGGAAUCUUCCGCAAUGGGCGAAAGCCUGACGGAGCAACGCCGCGUGAGUGAUGAAGGUCUUCGGAUCGUAAAACUCUGUUAUUAGGGAAGAACAAAUGUGUAAGUAACUAUGCACGUCUUGACGGUACCUAAUCAGAAAGCCACGGCUAACUACG
This 495-nucleotide ribosomal RNA is filed under the name uncultured bacterium. RNAcentral describes it as "partial 16S ribosomal RNA". It matches the Rfam family "Bacterial small subunit ribosomal RNA", at positions 28 to 505 of the family's 1533-position model. The record is from RNAcentral.